AUCCAGCUGACGAGUCACAAAUAGGACGAAACACGCGUUCUAGAU
Non-coding RNA from Schistosoma haematobium, 45 nucleotides. The record is from Rfam. Lineage: Eukaryota; Metazoa; Platyhelminthes; Trematoda; Strigeidida; Schistosomatidae.